GAUCAUGGCUCAGGACGAACGCUGGCGGCGUGCUUAACACAUGCAAGUCGAACGAGAAUCUGUGGAACGAGGAUUCGUCCAAGUGAAGCAGAGGACAGUGGCGGACGGGUGAGUAACGCGUGAGGAACCGUGCCUUUCAGAGGGGACGAACAGUUGGAACGAACUGCUAAUACCGCAUAACACAUGGGUGUCGCAUGGCACUGAUGUCAAAGAUUUAUUCGCUGAAAGA
RNAcentral lists this ribosomal RNA (229 nucleotides) under uncultured bacterium. Its description in RNAcentral is "partial 16S ribosomal RNA". It matches the Rfam family "Bacterial small subunit ribosomal RNA", at positions 15 to 225 of the family's 1533-position model. The record is from RNAcentral.